RNAcentral lists this long non-coding RNA (8024 nucleotides) under Gossypium barbadense (sea-island cotton). RNAcentral describes it as "long non-coding RNA (GBAR_LNC008267)". Lineage: Eukaryota; Viridiplantae; Streptophyta; Magnoliopsida; Malvales; Malvaceae. The record is from RNAcentral.
CAAUUCAACAUAUUUUUAUGAUAGAUUCAUGCAUUUAUAUAAGAUAACGUCAUCACAUAUCUAUAACCAGGUUUGUUAACCAUACUAAUGGCUAACUUUACAUUCAUUUCACGUUAACAUUUACUUUGUUAGCUUAUACAUGCCAUUGAUUUCCAAAAUAAAGUUUCUUUAUAUACCGAAAUCCUGAGGUUGACAGUGUGAUGUGUCUCCGACCAAAUCCGACCUCCGAGCUCUGAACACUACAAAACAGGGAAAAAGGAAAUGGGGUAAGCACUUUGUGCUUAGUAAGCUCAUGUAACAAGAAUUAUACUUACCUAAUAUUUUCAAUACAAUACAAUAAACAUCCAUAUAUCCAUUCAAUGCAUUAUUACCCUAAUAUGCACAAACUCAAUAUUCAAGUUAGUACAAUAAUUUCCAUGUACCAAUAAUAUAUACUAUGAUUGAUGAGCUCGUCAAUACCAUGAUUACCAUUUCCCUGUUAUUUUUUCAUAUUUAUCCCGUUGAAUUUCUUGGAAUUUUCGAUGGAUUUUCAGAGGUACACUUUUAGUGUACAAUUCCGGGUCUGUCAAUUCAUAUUCAUGUGCGCACAUUUUCAUUUCAGAGAGCACACUCCCGCGAACCUCAACCUUGCAAUGGGAUUACCAGUCCAGGCUAAAUCCCCUACAAUUUAAACUCAUAGAGUAUUGUCGGGAUUAUCAGUCCAGGCUAAAUCCCCUGUAAGGACAAUUACUCUAAUGAGCUUGGAUCUGAAUUACCAGUCCAGGCUAAAUUCAGACCUAAUUCGGAUUACCCGUCCGGGAUAAAUCCAUUUUACACAUAUUCUUCGGGAGGGCUAUAUCAAGAUAGGAUCACCCGUCCGGGCUAGAUCCUUUUUACCGUUAAUUCCUUUUCAGAAAUCCAUCGAAUUUUCCUUUCAUUCAAACGGGAUUUCUUCCCAUUUUAUCAAAUAUAUCAAUGUUUCAUUAAUUUUCAUAUAAUGAACACUCAAAUCAUAUUCACAUCAAUAACAUACAAUCUCAAGCAUUUAAGAAUAUAAUUCAAGUUACACGAACUUACCUUGAUACUUGUUUGUAAACAGUAAAAAUCUACUAAUCCCGAACUUUUUCAUUUCCUCGAUCUAGCUUCGUAUUUGAAUCUUCUAGAUCUAAAUAAAUAAAUUUAAUUAUCAAUUUAAUACAUUUCAUGUUCAUAUGCAACAUUCACUAUAAUUCAACUAUUAUUUAUAAUUCAUUCAAAGCUGUCUACUUGAGUCAUAGUCACUAAAUUAUUUAUAACUUGAGCUAAGGAACUACAAAUUAAGAUCUGUUAAUUUUUCCUGAAACUAGACUCAUAUAUAUUUUUACCAUAAAAUUUUCAGAAUUUUUGGUUUAGCCAAUCAGUACAGUUUAUUCGUCAAAGUCACCCCUGUUCUGUUGUCUAACAGUUCUGACCCUUCUUCACUAAAAAUAAAUUAUCUCUUUAUACAGAAUUCAAAUGAUGUUCUCCUUUGUUUCUAUUAACAAUAAACUCAUUCAGAAUUCUAUACAUAUAAAUUUAAGUCCCUAAUUAUUUUUAUUCAAUUUUUUAUAAUUUUUCAAAUUCAGAACAGGGGGAACCCGAAUUCAUUCUGACCUUGUCUCACAAAAUUCAUUAUAUCUCAAAAUUUACAAAUCCAUUGCUUACAAAAUUUCUUCUAUGAGAAACUAGACUCAACAAGCUUUAAUUCCAUAUUUUGUUCAUCUUCUAAUUCGAUUCCUACAUUUUUUUGGUGAUUUUUCAAAGUUAGUCUACUGCUGCUGUCCAAACUAUUUUAGUGCAAGCUGUUUAUUACCAUUUUUCCCCUAAGCUUUUAAUAAAUGAUAAUUUCGUCCCUACUCAAUUAGCCUCUCAAUUGAGCUGAUUUUUCUCAAUUAACAUUUUAUUCUAUCACCUUAAACUAUUUUACAACCUUUAGGAAUCAGAAUUUCAGCAAUAGACUUUAAUUCCAAACAUUUUCACAAUUAGGUCCUAAAAAUCAAUUUCCAUUGAAAUUGCCUAAUAAAAUCAUCUCAUAAACAAAUUAAAGUUUUAAUUUCAUUCUAUUUCAUCAUAAACUUAUAGCACUCAACCAUGGUGACUUCCAAUUUCAUCCAUGAAAUGAAAAACUAAUGAAUUUAAUAGUAGGACCUAGUUGUAAAAGUCUUAGAAACACAAAAACUACAAGAAAAAGGCAAGGAUUAACUCACUUGGUGCAAAUAUUAUGAAAUACCAGCUUAGAGAACCCUCCUAUGGCAUUUUUAGCUGCUGGAAUUGAAGAGAAAUGAAGAGAAAUCUAGAUAUUUCCUAUUUAGUCCUAGUUUUAUUUAGUUAAUUUUGCAAUAUUCCAAUUUACCCUUAAUUUAUCAAUUUUUUUGUUGAUUUCAUACCCUUGCCGUCCAGCCCAAAUAACUUUUGGGUCUAAUUUCCUUUUAAAUCCUUUCUCAUUAGACUCUUAAGCUAUUUAAUCACUCUAGCAACUUUUACACCUAUUACAAUUUAGUCCUUUUCAUUUAAUUGACUACUCAAACAUUAAAAUUUCCUAACGAAAUUUUAAUACCACAUUAAUAACAUUUCAUAAAUAUUUAUAAAAUUAUUUUCGACUCGGUUUUAGGAGAUAGAGGUCCCGAUACCUUAUUUUACCCAAUUUCUUCAAUAAUUUCUUUUUCUAGCUAAUCACUAAAUCGAUAAAAUUUUCCUAUCAAUAUUUUCAUACGAUUUUCCUAUCAUAUCAAUUUUCAAGAAAAAAUAUUGAAAUAAAUUUCUCUUUAAAUCGGAUCUAUGGUUACGAAACCAUUGUUCCGAUAACCUUGAAUUUAGGCCAUUACAACUCUCCCCCCUUUUAAGGAUUUUCAUUAUUGAAAAUCUUACCAGUAAAGAGGUUUGGGUAUUGUUUCCUCAUUGCCUCCUCCGGUUCCUAUGUUGCUUCCUCAAUCCCGUGCUUUUGCCACAAUACUUUCACCAAAUUUAUCUUUUUAUUUCUAAGCUCUUUUGUCUCCCGUGCCAAUAUCUUGACCGGUUCUUUACUGUAAGUCAUAUCCGGUUGAAUCUCUACUUCUAUCGGAGAAAUAACAUGUGAAGGAUCUGAUCAAUAUCGUCGUAACAUAGAUACAUGAAAAACAUUAUGGAUUCUAUCAAGUUUCGGUGGUAAUGCCAAUCGAUAAGUGACCAGUCCAAUUCUUUCUGUGAUUUCAUAGGGCCCGAUAAAUCUUGGACUCAAUUUACCCUUUCGACCGAAUCGAAGAACUUUCUUCCAAGGAGACACUUUCAGAAAUACCUUGUCACCAACUUGAAAUUCAAUCUCUUUUCGCUUAAGGUCGGCAUAUGAUUUUUGACGAUCGGAAGCUGCUUUUAGACUAUCUCGAAUAACCUUUACUUUUUCUUCUGUUUCCCGGAUCAAAUCAACCCCAUAUAUCUUCCUUUCACUGAGCUCUGUCCAAUAUAACGGUGUUCUACAUUUUCUACCAUACAAAGCUUCAUACGGAGCCAUUUUAAUACUAGACUGAUAACUGUUAUUGUAAGCAAAUUCAAUCAAAGGUAGAUACCUCUCCAAUUACCUUCAAACUCUAGUAUACAACAUCGGAGCAUAUCUUCCAAUACUUGAAUUACACGCUCAGAUUGACCAUCUGUCUGAGGAUGAAAUGCAGUGCUGAAAUACAACUGAGUACCCAAGGCUUCUUGCAAUUUAUCCCAGAAACGAGACGUAAAUCGGGGAUCUCUAUCUGAUAUAAUGGAGACAGGCACUCCAUGUAACCUGACAAUCUCAGAUAUGUACAGUUCAGCUAGUUUAUCUAAAGAAUAAUCCAUACGUACCGGAAUAAAGUGAGCUGACUUUGUUAAUCGAUCAACAGUCACCCAAAUAGCAUCUUUUUUCCUCGGAGACAAAGGUAGCCCCGAUACAAAAUCCAUAGUGAUUCUUUCCCAUUUCCAUUUCGGUAUAGUAAUUGGCUGAAGUAACCCCGAAGGUACCUGAUGUUCAGCUUUAACUUGUUGACAUAUUAAACACCUUGAUACAAACUCAGAGAUAUCACGUUUCACUCCCGACCACCAGUACAUCUUUUUCAGAUCAUUAUACAUUUUAUUACUCCCCGGAUGUACAGACAUAGUACUACUGUGGGCCUCGCGUAGAAUCUUCUGUAUGAGCUCCGAAUUCUGAGGUACAUAUACCCUACCUCUGAAUAAUAAACAAUCAUCAGAACCAAUCUGAAAUUCAGAAUCAUUACCUGACUCACACUGUUCCCGUUUAACCUGUAACUUCUCAUCAUUCUUCUGAGCUUCACAUAUUUGCUGUAAAAAUGUCGAUUUAGCUCUCAAUUCAGCAAGGAUUGAACCAUCAUCAGUCAAUGAUAACCGGGUAUUCAUAGCUCGUAAAGCAAACAGAGAUUUCCGGCUCAAAGCAUCAGCUACAACAUUAGCCUUACCCGGAUGGUAAUCAAUAAUCAAAUCAUAGUCCUUUAUCAGUUCAAGCCACCUGCACUGUCUCAAAUUCAAAUCUUUUUAUGUCAUCAAAUAUUUCAAGCUUUUAUGAUCAGUAUAAAUAUGACAUUUCUCACCGUACAAGUAAUGCCGCCAUAUCUUUAGCGAAAAUACAAUAGCAGCUAAUUCAAGAUCAUGUACUGGGUAAUUUCUUUCAUGUGGUUUAAGUUGUCUUGAAGCAUAGGCUAUUACUUUACCUUCUUGCAUCAAAACACAACCUAAACCAUUUAAUGAGGCAUCACUGUAAAUAACAAAUUCCUUACCCGGUUCAGGCUGCACUAAUACAGGUGCUUUCGUUAAUAGGUCUUUCAAUCGGUUGAAACUUUGUUGACAUUCAUCAGUCCACUCGAACUUUACAUCUUUCUGCAAUAAUCGAGUCAUUGGAGAAGCUAUCAUAGAGAAUCCCUGUACAAAUCUCCGAUAAUAACCAGCUAAACCCAAGAAACUUCUAACUUCAGAUACAUUAUUCGGUGGACUCCAAUUGACAAUAGCUGAGAUUUUACUUGGAUCUACCCUGAUGCCUUCGGCAGAUACAAUGUGUCCAAGAAAACCCACUUCUCGAAGCCAAAAUUCACAUUUACUGAAUUUAGCAUACAACUGCUUCUCUCAUAGAAUUUGCAACACAAUUUUCAAAUGUUCUGCAUGUUCUUCUUCAUCCCGAGAAUAAACCAAAAUAUCAUCAAUGAAUACUAGUACAAAUCUGUCUAAGUACGAUCUGAAUAUCCGGUUCAUCAAAUCCAUGAAUACUGCAGGUGCAUUAGAUAGCCCAAACGGCAUAACUAGAAACUCAUAAUGCCCGUACCUGAUUCUAAAGGCUAUUUUUGGCACAUCUGACUCCUUUACCCGUAACUGAUAAUAACCUGAUCGAAGAUCAAUCUUUGAAAACAUAGUAGCACCUUUCAGCUGAUCAAAUAAAUCAUCAAUUCGGGGUAACGGGUACUUAUUCUUUAUGGUUACUUUAUUAAGCUGCCGGUAGUCGAUACACAAUCUCAAAGACCCAUCUUUCUUUUUCACAAACAGAACCGGAGCACCCCAAGGUGAAGGACUCGGUCGGACAAAACCCCUGUCAACAAGCUCUUGCAACUGUGUCUUUAACUCUUUUAAUUCUAUAGGAGCCAUCCGGUACGGAGCUAUGGAGAUCGGAGUAGUUCCCGAAAUCAAAUCUAUAGAAAAUUCCACUUCUCUUUCUGGUGGCAAUCCUGGUAAUUCUUCUGGAAACACAUCGAAAAAUUCACAUACCACUGGAACUGCCUGUAUCUUUGACUCAGAUACCUUGGUGUCGAGUACAUUAGCCAAGUAAGCAUCAUACCCCUUUUUGACAUACCUCUGUACUGCCAUUACUGAAAUCAUAUCAGAUAACCCCUCUGUCUGAUCAGAUUAAACCCGAAGCAACUCACCAUUCUGACAUUUUAGCACAAUAUAUUUUUGUUUACAAUUUACUACCGCAUCAUGCUGGGUUAACCAAUCCAUACCCAAUAUCACGUCAAAUUUAUCAAAUGGCAGUAACAUCAAAUCAGCCAGGAAACAAUAACCUCUUACCAUCAGUGGACAAUUUUUACAAAUUUUAUCCACUAACACAUACUGGCCCAGGGGGUUCGAGACUUUAACCACAAAUUCAGUAGGUUCAACAAAUAAAUUUUUAACAAUUGCAAGUUUAACACAUAUAUAUGAAUGCAUAGAACCAGGAUCAAUCAAUGUAGUAAUAUCAGUAUCAAGUAAAGAAAAUGUACCAGUAAUAACAUCGGGUGCUGAAGCAUCUUCUCUGGCACGAAUGGCAUAUGUCCUAGCAGGUGCUCGUACCUCAGGCCUACCUAUAGUAUCUUUUGUAGCUCCUCGACUACCACUGACAUUACCGGAUGGUCGAGGUGGUCUGCCCCUCGAAACUAGAUUACUCGGCUUCGAUAUAUGUUCAACUUCUUUUUCAACCCUUUCUGGACAAGCUCUGAGGAAAUGGUCAAAAGAACCACAUCGGUAACAAGCCCCACUCUUAAAUCGGCAUUCACCAAAAUGAGCUUUAUUACAGUACUGGCAUCUCGGUUUAGGAGUGCCAACACUGCCAACACUGGUCACUGAUGGAGUAGAAGGCCUUGGAUUAGUGCUUGAGAACCUCGCUCUUUGCCCGAAUACCCAAUGGCUGAAGUAGAACGAUCCUGAUAUUUCUUCAAUUUCUUUGAAGCAGAAAACUGGAAUUUUUCCAUCGGUCUUUUACUAAAAAUUCGAGCUUCCCUCUCAGCCUGUUUCUUUUCUUUGCUCAAUUCUUCUGCUUUAUAACUCUCUCUGCCAAUGUAGCAAACUCUCAAAUUUCAAGAAUUCCGAUCAGUAACUUAAUGUCUUCAUUCAACCCUUCUUCGAAUUGUUUGUACAUUUCAGCUUCUGACUGUACCCAUUCUCGAGCAUAUUUACUCAAUCGAACAAAUUCUCUUUCAUAUUCAGAUACUAAUCUAUUGCCCUGUUUCAGCUUAAGAAAUUCUUUUCUUUUCUGGUCAAGGAACCUCUGGCUGAUAUAUUUUUUUCUGAACUCGGUCUGAAAGAAUUCCCAUGUAAUUUCUUCUUUCGGAACAACUGAAGCUUUAGUAUUCCACCAAUGGUAAGCUGUAUCUUUUAUCAGUGAGACGGCACAUUUCAGACAUUCUUUUGGCGUACAAGAUAAUUCUUCCAGAACCCGAGUAGUGUUUUCUAACCAGAAUUCAGCCCAUUCGGAAUCAUCAUCAACUGCUGCUCGAAAUUCUUCGGCUCCAUAUUUUCGAAUUUUAUCUACUGGAGCUUUUCCUUUUCUGACAGAUGCAGUACCUGCACCUUGUGGGAUCUCGGGAACCGGUGAAAGAGCAGGAGGGGGAGCAUGAACUUGCUGCACUACAGGGUUAGUUCUUAAAUAUUGAUUAAACCAUUCAUUCAUCAUUUGAAAGAAGGUUGUUUUUGCCUCCUCCCCUCGACCCUCUGUCUCGGGCCUUCUACUGCUAGUUUCUUCCCUUUGUACUGAAGCCGGAGCAUGACUCCCAGCUUCCUCAGAUUGAGCUCGGUCGGAUGACAUUACUAUAAGAAAAACACAUUUUAAAUGGUGAGGAGAUAUCACACUAUCAAUAAUAAUUUAAAUGGCAUGUAUAGCUAAUUCCGUAUUUGCUACAUCGGUCCUAGAACCGGUUAAACCGUAGCUCUGAUACCAAUAAAUGUAAUACCCCUACCCGUAUUCAUUGUCGGAAUAGGGUACGAGGCAUUACCGGAGUUUAUGAAUUAAAUAUUUUUUUAUUCAAUAUAGCCCCUUUAUAAAUAUCUCACCUUCCCUGCAAUAUUAAAUCGAGACCAAUCCACAUCAACCAAAUCAAUUCAACAUAUUUUUAUGAUAGAUUCAUGCAUUUAUAUAAGAUAAAAUCAUCACAUAUCUAUAACCAGGUUUGUUAACCAUACUAAUGGCUAACUUUACAUUCAUUUCACAUUAACAUUUACUUUGUUAGCUUAUACAUGCCAUUGAUUUCCAAAAUAAAGUUUCUUUAUAUACCGAAAUCCUGAGGUUGACAGUGUGAUGUGUCUCCGACCAAAUCCGACCUCCGAGCUCU